AAAGUGAUCGGCGGAGUUAGGGCAUACUCUAAGCGUAGUAAUAUUCUUCUCGCUUCUGUAGUUGUCCUGGCGGCUUGCCGUUAAACCCCUAUAUUUCUAGUGGUUGACCUCGGAUUAGGUAGGAAUACCCGCUGAACUUAAGCAUAUCAAUAAGCGGAGGAAAAGAAACCAACAGGGAUUGCCCUAGUAACGGCGAGUGAAGCGGCAACAGCUCAAAUUUGAAAUCUGGCCCUAGCGGUCCGAGUUGUAAUUUGUAGAGGAUGCUUUUGGUUAGGUGCCUUCUGAGUUCCCUGGAACGGGACGCCAAAGAGGGUGAGAGCCCCGUACGGUUGGACACCGAGCCUCUAUAUAGCUCCUUCGACGAGUCGAGUAGUUUGGGAAUGCUGCUCUAAAUGGGAGGUAAAUUUCUUCUAAAGCUAAAUACCGGCCAGAGACCGAUAGCGCACAAGUAGAGUGAUCGAAAGAUGAAAAGUACUUUGAAAAGAGGGUUAAAUAGCACGUGAAAUUGUUGAAAGGGAAGCGUUUGCGACCAGACUUUUUCCAGGCGGAUCAUCCGGUGUUCUCACCGGUGCACUUCGCCUGGUUUAGGCC
RNAcentral lists this ribosomal RNA (591 nucleotides) under Daldinia loculata. RNAcentral's name for it is "eukaryotic LSU rRNA". The stretch from base 105 to 591 matches the Rfam family "Eukaryotic large subunit ribosomal RNA", at positions 1 to 499 of the family's 3401-position model. The record is from RNAcentral. Lineage: Eukaryota; Fungi; Ascomycota; Sordariomycetes; Xylariales; Hypoxylaceae.